This 2758-nucleotide ribosomal RNA is filed under the name Klebsiella pneumoniae. RNAcentral's name for it is "bacterial LSU rRNA". It matches the Rfam family "Bacterial large subunit ribosomal RNA". The record is from RNAcentral. Lineage: Bacteria; Pseudomonadati; Pseudomonadota; Gammaproteobacteria; Enterobacterales; Enterobacteriaceae.
CACUAUCGUUAACUGAAUACAUAGGUUAACGAGGCGAACCGGGGGAACUGAAACAUCUAAGUACCCCGAGGAAAAGAAAUCAACCGAGAUUCCCCCAGUAGCGGCGAGCGAACGGGGAGCAGCCCAGAGUCUGAAUCAGCUUGUGUGUUAGUGGAACGGUCUGGAAAGUCCGACGGUACAGGGUGAUAGUCCCGUACACCAAAAUGCACAGGCUGUGAACUCGAAGAGUAGGGCGGGACACGUGGUAUCCUGUCUGAAUAUGGGGGGACCAUCCUCCAAGGCUAAAUACUCCUGACUGACCGAUAGUGAACCAGUACCGUGAGGGAAAGGCGAAAAGAACCCCGGCGAGGGGAGUGAAAAAGAACCUGAAACCGUGUACGUACAAGCAGUGGGAGCACCUUCGGGUGUGACUGCGUACCUUUUGUAUAAUGGGUCAGCGACUUAUAUUCUGUAGCAAGGUUAACCGUAUAGGGGAGCCGCAGGGAAACCGAGUCUUAACUGGGCGUUAAGUUGCAGGGUAUAGACCCGAAACCCGGUGAUCUAGCCAUGGGCAGGUUGAAGGUUGGGUAACACUAACUGGAGGACCGAACCGACUAAUGUUGAAAAAUUAGCGGAUGACUUGUGGCUGGGGGUGAAAGGCCAAUCAAACCGGGAGAUAGCUGGUUCUCCCCGAAAGCUAUUUAGGUAGCGCCUCGUGAAUUCAUCUUCGGGGGUAGAGCACUGUUUCGGCUAGGGGGUCAUCCCGACUUACCAACCCGAUGCAAACUACGAAUACCGAAGAAUGUUAUCACGGGAGACACACGGCGGGUGCUAACGUCCGUCGUGAAGAGGGAAACAACCCAGACCGCCAGCUAAGGUCCCAAAGUCAUGGUUAAGUGGGAAACGAUGUGGGAAGGCACAGACAGCCAGGAUGUUGGCUUAGAAGCAGCCAUCAUUUAAAGAAAGCGUAAUAGCUCACUGGUCGAGUCGGCCUGCGCGGAAGAUGUAACGGGGCUAAACCAUGCACCGAAGCUGCGGCAGCGACACUAUGUGUUGUUGGGUAGGGGAGCGUUCUGUAAGCCUGCGAAGGUGACCUGUGAGGGUUGCUGGAGGUAUCAGAAGUGCGAAUGCUGACAUAAGUAACGAUAAAGCGGGUGAAAAGCCCGCUCGCCGGAAGACCAAGGGUUCCUGUCCAACGUUAAUCGGGGCAGGGUGAGUCGACCCCUAAGGCGAGGCCGAAAGGCGUAGUCGAUGGGAAACAGGUUAAUAUUCCUGUACUUGGUGUUACUGCGAAGGGGGGACGGAGAAGGCUAUGUUAGCCGGGCGACGGUUGUCCCGGUUUAAGCAUGUAGGCUGGUUGUCCAGGCAAAUCCGGAUAAUCAAGGCUGAGGUGUGAUGACGAGGUACUACGGUGCUGAAGUAACAAAUGCCCUGCUUCCAGGAAAAGCCUCUAAGCAUCAGGUAACAUCAAAUCGUACCCCAAACCGACACAGGUGGUCAGGUAGAGAAUACCAAGGCGCUUGAGAGAACUCGGGUGAAGGAACUAGGCAAAAUGGUGCCGUAACUUCGGGAGAAGGCACGCUGGUGUGUAGGUGAAGUCCCUGCGGAUGGAGCUGAGACCAGUCGAAGAUACCAGCUGGCUGCAACUGUUUAUUAAAAACACAGCACUGUGCAAACACGAAAGUGGACGUAUACGGUGUGACGCCUGCCCGGUGCCGGAAGGUUAAUUGAUGGGGUUAUCCGUAAGGAGAAGCUCUUGAUCGAAGCCCCGGUAAACGGCGGCCGUAACUAUAACGGUCCUAAGGUAGCGAAAUUCCUUGUCGGGUAAGUUCCGACCUGCACGAAUGGCGUAAUGAUGGCCAGGCUGUCUCCACCCGAGACUCAGUGAAAUUGAACUCGCUGUGAAGAUGCAGUGUACCCGCGGCAAGACGGAAAGACCCCGUGAACCUUUACUAUAGCUUGACACUGAACAUUGAGCCUUGAUGUGUAGGAUAGGUGGGAGGCUUUGAAGCGUGGACGCCAGUCUGCGUGGAGCCAACCUUGAAAUACCACCCUUUAAUGUUUGAUGUUCUAACGUUGGCCCCUGACCGGGGUUGCGGACAGUGUCUGGUGGGUAGUUUGACUGGGGCGGUCUCCUCCCAAAGCGUAACGGAGGAGCACGAAGGUUAGCUAAUCCUGGUCGGACAUCAGGAGGUUAGUGCAAUGGCAUAAGCUAGCUUGACUGCGAGCGUGACGGCGCGAGCAGGUGCGAAAGCAGGUCAUAGUGAUCCGGUGGUUCUGAAUGGAAGGGCCAUCGCUCAACGGAUAAAAGGUACUCCGGGGAUAACAGGCUGAUACCGCCCAAGAGUUCAUAUCGACGGCGGUGUUUGGCACCUCGAUGUCGGCUCAUCACAUCCUGGGGCUGAAGUAGGUCCCAAGGGUAUGGCUGUUCGCCAUUUAAAGUGGUACGCGAGCUGGGUUUAGAACGUCGUGAGACAGUUCGGUCCCUAUCUGCCGUGGGCGCUGGAGAAUUGAGGGGGGCUGCUCCUAGUACGAGAGGACCGGAGUGGACGCAUCACUGGUGUUCGGGUUGUCAUGCCAAUGGCACUGCCCGGUAGCUAAAUGCGGAAGAGAUAAGUGCUGAAAGCAUCUAAGCACGAAACUUGCCCCGAGAUGAGUUCUCCCUGAGACUUUAAGUCUCCUGAAGGAACGUUAAAGACGAUGACGUUGAUAGGCCGGGUGUGUAAGCGCAGCGAUGCGUUGAGCUAACCGGUACUAAUGAACCGUGAGGCUUAACCUU